AAAAUAAUAGUCUAAUUAUUAUUAUUAUUAUCAGCAUCAUCAUUGCCAGCCGGCUAAUCUUCAACUGGAAGUAGCAAGGCCCUCCUCAGCCUGCAUAUCUCGCGGAGCAUUCUUGAUCUAAAUCCUCCCAAUUUCCAUUGUAGAUCACGAAGUUGAUUUCGAAGUUCAUCCACGGCGUCUUGCAGAAAAGCAUCAUUCCAUCCUGGGUCAGCCAUAAUCUUAUUUUCUAGAGUGUAAUAUGAAAGACAAGAUGCAAUAAAUAAAUAGAGUGUGUAUUUGGAUGAACGAUUGAGUAAGGACAGACCUAUUUAAAGAGGAUUGAAUUUGAAUGAGAGGCAAAAAGGCGUGACUAUUCACCUCCAUACAUUAAUUAAAUUUUGGAUUAAAUUAAGAAAAUAAAUAUUGUGAUAUAAGUCAUGACUUUUUAGAUUAUUAUUAUUAAUUAGUCUUUCGAAGAACCAUUUUUAUUGAGUUGUGAAAACAAAUGUUAUAUCUGUUACAUCAGAUAACACAUCUGUGACAACAGAUAUAUUAUCUGUUGCAACAAAUAUAAAAUAUGUUGCAUCAGAUAACAUAUCUGUUGCAACAUAUAAUCUAACUGUUCACCUCCAUUUAUUAAUUACAUUUUUUAUUAAUGUGAAAAGUAAUGAAUUAAUUAAAUUAAGAAAUAUUGUGAUAAGUCAUGACUUUUCAGAUUAUUAUUAUUAAUUAGUUCUUUCCAANNNNNNNNNNNNNNNNNNNNNNNNNNNNNNNNNNNNNNNNNNNNNNNNNNNNNNNNNNNNNNNNNNNNNNNNNNNNNNNNNNNNNNNNNNNNNUAUAUAAUAAAUAAUUUAAAAACAAAUUCAAAAAUAAAAAUGGUGAAAAGUCACGAUCAGUUAUUAAAAUUGUAGUUAUAAAUUGUGUUUAUUAUUUAUUUCCUUAUUAUUUAUUUACGAAAAAAAUUUCAUAUUGAAUAAUCGAAACUCCGAGUCAUGUCUUUCUCUUUUCACCCUCUCAAUAACAACAAUAGCCCUUUUUUUAUUAAUAACCGCCAGGUGCAACAUAUGAUCGAUCUGUCGUAGCAGAUUAACCUCUAACUGUUGACACAAAUUGCUGCUCAAUCCCUACCACCAACCGUCAACAUGGAACUCACAAAAAGGGAACUUGGUUCCUUAUUUUGAGUCAGGUAUGUACCAUCAUUUUCAAUGCAUGUAUUUCCUGAGUAUGUGUAAAACUUAAGCAUUGGUGAACCUGAUCCAUCCUUAAAAACCCAAUUCUUUAAAAAAAAAAAAAAAAAGUUCAAGGGUUUUGAAAUUAUCCUAGCUCCAAUUCAGGGGGAAACUAGUCCAUUUCCUUUAGUGUCAUCAUUAUUUUAGCCACUUCAUUAAUCUGAACUAGGUACCAUGAACCCUAAACCCUGAACCCUGAACCCUGAACCCCUCACCUUUCAAGUGUAACUAGCCAUUUCUUGGGGGAACAACUUUCUUAGGAACAAACUAAUAUCAGUUUCCUUAUUGUUGCAAAACCCAUCAUUGUUACACAAAAUUUGAUGAGUCCUUUAAUCAUAUCUAUUUUUUAUUAACCGGGGUUUGAAAGCCAUCAAGAAGAAGUCAUUUGAGAAAAAAAUAUCAAAAAGGAGUAAGAUCUUUGUGCAUAUGAACCAGGUUCUGGAAAAAAAAUAUAUAGGUCUCAUCAUUCAGUUGUUGUUUCAUAUACAUCUUGCAAAUGCACAAUCUACUUGAUGCAGAAAAUACUCAGCUAAAGGCCAAAAAAAAGAAGUGCAAAAUGGUAUGGAAAAGCAUUCCACCUCCUCUUUCUUAGCCUUCGUACCUCUUCCUCCAGUAUAUAUCCUCGAGUCUCUUGCCUCCAAUUUUUUUGUGGUGCUUAUGUUUUGUCUCAUACUCAUGAUAUGAUAUGCUUCUGAUUGGGGUCCUAAGGGAUUAAAUUGGUACAUGUCUACUCGAUUGUGUUUCAUCUUUCCAUAUCUUGAUUGUGUAUGUAAGCUGGUUAAUAUUCUCAGAUUGACUUACCUAAUUGUUACAAAGGGAGUGUGCUGAAAAGUAUUACUCAAGGGCCAUGAGUUAAAAUGAUAUUGCACUCAUUGUAUAUUUAUUGAGUUAUUUGGUUGUUGAUUUUUAAUGAUGCCAAAGGGGGGAAGUUAUAUGGUAUGGAGACAAGAAAUAUAUGAUGCAUUAUUUGUCAUCAUUAAAAAGGGGGAAAUUGUUGGAAAGUAGGAGAAUUUGUAGUUUUGAUGAUUGACAAAUAAGAACCUGGUUUACUACUUGUUGUCUUUGUAUGUUGUAUCAUAUGAACCAGGUUCGCAGAACCAAGUGAGGUCAAUUGAUAAAGCCAACGUGGGGGCAUCUUUGGGAGGUCAAACCACAAACAUGUGAUGGCAUUUAUGAGGCCUUAAAUGCCUUGUCCAGAUGCUGGUCAGAAAAGCUAGCAACAAGAUCUAAUUAGUUGGCAUUGCACAUGGAAAAUAAAGAAAAGUCUUGUGUGAAAUCUGAAAGGAAUCAAAUAGCCAACAGUAAAGAAAAAGUUCCAACUGGAACAGGUUGGCUUCCAUAAGAAAAAGUCUUUUGUGAUCUAAAGGGAAUUAAAGAGCAGCAGUAUAUAUGCAACAUUGCUGUCAAUUAUCAAAGACAACCUAUUGCACAUCCACAAAACAUAUAAUCUUGAGAGCAAUAGUCAUCAAAGCUAAAAAACUGCACGAAUUCAUCACAGCAAAACAGAAACCUGGUUCACAGUUUCUGUUCAAGUUUGCAGUAUUGAAAGUUGAAGUUUUGAGUAAUCUAAGGCUAGAGUUAGUAGUCUUGUUGAUAUCAUCAGUUGUAGUAAAUUGAUGAGUUUUGAGUCUUUAAUAGGAUAGAUUAUGAGUUGUGAUAUUUUCUAUUAUUGAACGUUGUGAGUCUAAGUAAUAAGAAGUGGGUUUGACUUCUUAUUCUUGGGGUGUUGUAACAAGAAGCGGGUUUAACUUCUUGUUUGUGAGGUGUUGUAACAAGAAGCGAGUUUGACUUCUUGGAGUGCUCAUAUAGUGGGUUGAACAGUUGUAGUAAACUGUUGAGUUGUGAGUUUAGAGUUAGGUUCUAGGAUUGCGGGGUUCUAAUCUUGAACAAAGCUUUUUGAAAUUAGUGGACAUUGGAGGUGAAAUCCUACACAGUGUAGGUCAUGAUUUUUUACUCCCUUGAGCAAGGAGUUUUCCACGGUAAAUUUGCAUUGCACUUUAUUUUACUGUUUGCAGUCUACUGAAAUAUCAGAAACUAGGUUCCUGAUACGUGUGGUGGGAUUAGUUAAUUUUCUACACAUAAUCUAGGGGAUUCUCAAUUAAUUUAAACAUGUUCAAAAGCAAGCUAAGAUUAUACCGCCUUGGCAUUUGAAAUUAAGAAAUUAUCCUUGAAGCUUAAAAGCUAGCUCAAAGAAUUUAAUAUUUUUUCCAACAUUAGUGGGGCGCCUAGGCUAUGCCGAGCCGUGGCCAGACCGCAGCGGGCAUCGUCCCUAACCAUCAAGGCCCCAGAGACCCUUGUAACAGCCCAACCUACUAGUGAUAUUGUCCGCUUUGGGCCCAGGCCCACACGACUUUAAAAUGCGCAACUAGAGAGUAAGGCUUGACACAGGAUCGACUCUGAUUCCAUUCUUGUCACUACCCGAGCCGGGGACUUGGCCGCGACGGGCAUCCCUAACCACCAAGGCCCGAGAAACCCCUGUAACAGCCCCACCCACUACUGAUAUUGUCUACUUUGGGCCCAAACCAGUAAGGCUUUAAAACGCAUCACAAGAAAGUAAUAUUCGCUUACUUAUAUACCCAGCAUCCCUCCUGUGUUUUGCCGUUAUGGGACUCCUUAUCCUAAGUUGGGGUGUUACACGUUUCCAGUAAGAUUUUUUCCAUACUCAGGGGUCGAACCCUAGACCUCUAAUCAAGGGUGCAAUAGUUCCAUCACUACGCCACAACCCAGGUUGAUUCUUUGGAAAACUUAAUUAUUGCAUUGUUCAUUUGUUGUAUUUCCUGGAAUAUUGUUGUAUGCUUAUUAAAGGUUAGACAGUUUUAAUAGUAAUUAAUCAUAUUGGAUUAAUUAUAAUUAGCACUAAAAACUACAAUUAAAAAACUUACACUCAAGCACUGCUAGUGAAGACUCAACCAGUUCCCUUGCAAUAACCUCUGAUGAUAUAAUUAGAAGAACCAAAGAAAAAAUAAUUAAAACAUUUGCCUUGAGUGCCAUUUUGGAUUCAAUAAUAA
RNAcentral lists this long non-coding RNA (4216 nucleotides) under Capsicum annuum. RNAcentral describes it as "long non-coding RNA (CANN_LNC005757)". Lineage: Eukaryota; Viridiplantae; Streptophyta; Magnoliopsida; Solanales; Solanaceae. The record is from RNAcentral.